CCGAAAGGCAAAUCACACGCACGCUCUCUCUCUCUCUCUCGGCAGUGCUCGCCGACUUCUCUCUCUUUCUCUCAUCGGUAAGCCGUAAUCGUAUCUAUCUCUCGAAACCCUUAUAUCGCCGCAGGUGAGAUCGAAGAUGCUCCCUCAAUUUUUCUAAUUUCUAGGGUUUCCUUUCGUUUCGUGCUUCCAUUUAUGGGGUUUCAUUCGCAACCCUAAACAUUUUUUUCAAUCUCCAAUAACCGAGAGAAACUAGAGCUGUAUAACACUACUAAGUUUUCAAAGUAAUUCUUUUUACUACUGUACUGUAUCAUUUCAGACCAAGUUUUGUUUUUAUAAGUUUCUGUGUUGUAUCGUUUGAAUAUGGCGGCUGGAAGGCAUGGGGGUUAUCGCGAAAACGAGUUCAGGGACCGCGAGUCCAACAUUCAAUUGUCAAGGAGGGAUUUUGUUAAAGCCAAGGAAGGGUAUGAUCGAAUUAGGAGUAGUAAUGCUAAUCUUGGCAUGGAAAGGGACCGAGUUCAGGAUAUAAGAGAUAGGGGUAGGGUUAGGCAGAAGGAUAUUAAAGAAAGGGAGGUGAUGAAUGGCGGGUAUCGAUCAGCUUCGAGUAGGAGUGAUUCGGGCAGUAGUGGUGGUGGCGUUGGUGGGCCCAAGCGACGUGGGUUUAUGACUAGGGCCAUUGAUAAGGAACCGGGUGAGUUGUCGAGUGAGUCUGAUGACGCUUUUGACUCUGAAUCACAGAUGAAGGAUCCCAAUGAUUUGCAGGUGAUCGAUAAUGGGGUCCUGUUGCCGCCUCUAGGAAGGAAGAGGAAGUUUUCCCCUAUAAUUUGGGAUAGAGAUGACAAAGAAGUCAAUAACUCGUCGAGAAGUAGGGUGUCUGUGAAAGUUAAGGCUCCUCCUCCCCCUUUUUCACCGGAGGCAUACAGUCAGUCACCAAAUGCUGUUCCAGAUGGGGGUGCACAUAUAUCUCCUAGUAAGAAUAGUAAAGACGAGAAUUUGCUGCAAUCUUCAUCACCAAUAAACCCUCCUGUGGCACCUGGGUCUGGGGGUCAUGCAGUGUCCAAGUCUCCUGUAGGAUUUUCUCCUGUGUUGCCAAGCCAGCAGUGGGGUGAUAAUCUGGAAGAAGUGCAGCUAGAAGAUGAUUAUAUUCCAGCCCGGAACAUAUCAUCUUCAAGAUGGGCAGAUGCAAAGAGCUCUCUCGUUGAUGAAGCUGAAAUUAUAUAUGAUGAAGAAAUUCAUAAAAGGAGAAAGAAAAUGCCUCUUUCCGGGUCAUUGGACGUCAGAGUUUGCAACAAGUCGUUGAGUCCAGAGCUGGGGGAGAUCAGGAGAGAAGGCUUUGAAAGAUCUCGAGUUAAAUCAUUUGAAUCUGAUGAACUUGUCACCCAUGGAAGGUCUUUGAAUCGGGAUUAUUAUGCUGGCAAUGAUCCAGAGAAGGAUGACUUAAUGGAAAUUGCAGAUGAACACGAAAAAAAUUAUAGUAGUGCUAGCCAGUUAAGUACAGAUUCAGGAGAUGAAGAUGAUUCUCGUGGGACACCAGAACCUACACCUACAGCUCCUCCACAAAGAAGUGUAAACAUGCUUCAAGGGUGUAGAAGCGUUGAUGAGUUUGAGAGACUUAAUAGAAUUGAUGAGGGCACUUACGGUGUUGUAUAUAGAGCUAGGGAUAAGAAGAGUGGGGACAUUGUUGCAUUGAAAAAGGUGAAAAUGGAAAAGGAAAAAGAAGGUUUUCCAUUGACUUCUCUGAGGGAAAUAAACAUUCUUCUUUCUCUCCAUCACCCAUCGAUUAUAGAUGUUAAAGAAGUAGUGAUGGGGAGUAACCUCGAUAGUAUAUUUAUGGUGAUGGAGUACAUGGAGCAUGAUCUCAAAGGACUUAUGGAGACAAUGAAACAGCCAUUUAGUCAGAGUGAAGUUAAAUGCCUAAUGCUCCAGCUUUUGGAGGGUGUUAAGUAUCUUCAUGAUAACUGGGUGCUUCAUCGGGAUUUGAAGGCAUCAAAUCUGCUUUUGAAUAACCAGGGUGAGUUGAAGGUUUGUGACUUUGGGUUGGCUCGUCAAUAUGGGAGUCCAUUGAAACCGUAUACUCAUUUGGUGGUUACCCUUUGGUACAGGGCACCUGAACUUCUGUUGGGAGCAAAACAGUAUUCCACAGCAAUCGACAUGUGGUCGUUGGGUUGCAUCAUGGCUGAAUUCUUAUCUAAAGAGCCAUUGUUCAAUGGGAAAACUGAGUUCGAUCAACUUGACAAGAUUUUUAGGAUUCUUGGGACACCAAAUGAGACGAUUUGGCCUGGAUUUUCCAAGCUCCCUGGGGUCAAGGUCAACUUUGUCAAGCAUCAGUAUAAUCUAUUGCGGAAGAAAUUCCCUGCUACAUCAUUCACUGGAUCUCCGGUUCUCUCUGAUUCUGGAUUUGACUUGUUGAACAAACUUCUAACUUAUGACCCUGAGAGGCGAAUUACAGCUGAGGCUGCUCUUAAUCAUGAAUGGUUCCAUGAGGUUCCUCUUCCCAAAUCCAAAGAGUUCAUGCCUACUUUUCCUGCUCAGCAUGCUCAAGACAGGCGUACACGGAGAAUAGUGAAGAGUCCCAAUCCUUUGGAAGAGCAGCGUAUAAAGGAGUUGCUGCAGAGUCAUUUAGGGACCGGAGGUGUGCUUGGCUAAGUUAAUGAAUAUGCAGUGUGGCCUUGAUCUCCCUCCUUUUGCCUUACACAACACCAACUAGUAAAUGAGGUUGAGGCACUAUCAGUGGUUUGGGGAGACACUUGUAUUGCCUCUUCCUGUCAACCAGAUUCAUUGCAGGUUAACCUUGUUGUUCAGCUUUGGUCAUCAUUGCUUACAUUGAAAGGUGUGGCAUAACUGCCUUUUUUAUUAAAAAAAGUUUCAGCUGAAACUUGUGUAUGUAACAUAUAUUUUUUUUAUCAUUGUAAACUCUUUUAAAUUUGUUUUUGUAUAAUAGUAUCAAAUUUCUCCAGCUGUCAGUUCUAUCAUUCUUUCAUCUUUUUUUAAUCAUCACA
Molecule: RNA transcript, 2996 nt
Organism: Juglans regia (Persian walnut)
Lineage: Eukaryota; Viridiplantae; Streptophyta; Magnoliopsida; Fagales; Juglandaceae
Gene name: cyclin-dependent kinase G-2-like
Exons: 7
Source: RefSeq, a predicted model, not a curated record